RNAcentral lists this non-coding RNA (30 nucleotides) under Rattus norvegicus (Norway rat). Lineage: Eukaryota; Metazoa; Chordata; Mammalia; Rodentia; Muridae. The record is from RNAcentral.
UGGGAUUAAAGAGGUGUACUGCCAUGCCCA